RNAcentral lists this ribosomal RNA (253 nucleotides) under uncultured bacterium. RNAcentral describes it as "partial 16S ribosomal RNA". It matches the Rfam family "Bacterial small subunit ribosomal RNA", at positions 524 to 776 of the family's 1533-position model. The record is from RNAcentral.
GACGGAAGGUGCAAGCGUUGCUCGGAAUCACUGGGCGUAAAGGGUGCGUAGGCGGCCGCGCAAGUCUGGCGUGAAAGCCCCGGGCUCAGCCCGGGAAGGGCGCUCGAAACGGCGCGGCUCGAGUGCCGGAGGGGAGAGUGGAGUUCCUGGUGUAGCGGUGAAAUGCGUAGAUAUCAGGAGGAAUACCAAUGGCGAAGGCAGCACUCUGGGACGGUACUGACGCUGAGACGCGAAAGCGUGGGGAGCAAACAGG